AUAAUCGAAAAUACGAAACUUUCUUUAUAAAACAAUUUUUUUAGAGUGUGACACAAAACUAACUUUUGAUUUGUAAUUCACUAUGAAACUCUGCAUUCUGUAUGUAACAUACAGUGAGUUUCAUAAUAUUGGGUUUUUACGUUCGACAAAAACGCCCAUAUUGCACAUAUUAGAAACUAAAACAAGAAACAAACAAAACAUUAUUCCAGUAGUCAAGAAAAAAAAGUAGACAAGAAAACUUCAACAACUUCAAAAACUAGUACUAUUUUUUAGAUCCUGGACGGAAGAGAUUGAGGGUUUGCGCACAUGGCGACCCAAUUCAUUCCACAUAUAUUUGGUGCGGUUCACGCGUGGUGAUUUCUGGAGGAUGGUGAGGCAGUUAUGUAAGAGCCAUCGUUGAAUUAAUGGGGAAUUACGCUUGAGGUUGUUAUAUUGUUGGAAUUUGAAUGUUUCUAAAACACCAAGUAUGUGGACAUAUUUACAUUCCUGUUAUAAAGCCUAUAUAACAAGCCAAGCGGACUAAACAGUACAUAAUUAGUGCGGCAAUGAGAUAUUCCCAAGGGAAUAUAGUGUCGUGAAGACCUAUUCGCAACAUUGAUGUCGACUAAGUUAAAUAGGUAAAAAGAGGAAACAAUUUAACAAUAAUCCCGAUAAUUUCCCCUCUCUUAUGCAGGGACGAUAUUAGGUUAGGUUUGUUGUCAUAUGGCAGAAGAAUUCUAGCAAGCUCUCAUGGCACAUUGCGUAAGGCGCAAAGAAAAAAAUUUCUCUGCAAAGACUAAUCGAUCGGUGUGACAUUGACAAUAAGGCGCCCAAACAUCGUCGUUAAAUUCUUUAAUUCAUCUCUUAACAAAACCCAAACUGACUUAGCCAUGUGAAUGGACCAUUCAACAGGGUUGAACUUGAGUCUGCAAUCAAAUAACACGCCUAAAUGUUUAAAGCAAGACGCAUUCUCCAGAGCAUAAUUACUUAUAGAAUAACAAAUAGGCACUGAGAAUGACAUUUUUUUGCAUUUGCUUAAAUUACAUGACAUAAUGUUGGCAGCACAUCAAUAAUUCAAAGAUAAUCGAUCAGAUUGUCGCCCAUCAAUGUCAACCAUUUGAAGUAAAAAUUUUCACAUCAUCCGCAAACAUAAGAAUUUUAGAAAACUAGACAUAAGAGGGGAGAUCAUUAAUAUACACAAUAAAUAAGAUAGGGCCCAAAUGACUCACUUGAGGAAUAGCAGAAUAGAAUUGUAAUAGAUUUCAAAAAAUGAAAUAAUUGACGAUAAAUUUCCACUUUCAAACAUGGAUUCAAUAAUAGACAAACUAUAAUUUCGCAACUGUAGAUUUGGCCUCAUCAAAUACGAAUCAGAGAACAAUUACAUGGAUUGCACGAAUUUAUUAGAACGCCAUUCGGAUUAAAACAUGCGCCAGCAACAUUCCAAGGCAAUCUGAUGGGAGUUUAUUAAUAAGACAUGUGUAGUAUACCUUGACGAUAUUUUGAACUUUAGUAAAUCGCUCCAAGAACAUGUGAGAGCAAUAAGAGACAUAUUCACAGUACCUGAACAAACAAAUUUGAAAAUUCAAAUCGACAAAUGUAAAUUUAUGAAAAAAGGGACGUAAUUUUGAGAAAUCUUUUAAGAAAUGUAACUUUAUGAAAAAAAAAGAAACGAAGAAUCCUAUUAAAUUGAAAUUUUCACGCAAUGAAACACCAAAACAACAAAAGAUGAAGCAAUAAAUUCGGACACAUAUUAUUAAAGAAUUCCACCUUUUGACAGUAAUAGAUAAUCUACCUAUAUUUGGAGCAGCUCAACUACUAAAUGAUACCAUUUACCAUUAAUUGAACAACUAGAAGAUCUUGCUAAAGCUAACAGUCAUACAGGGAACUCUACAAUAGCUGAACAAUUCAAAUCAAUGAAUGAAACUUAGAAAGAUGUGCCUAUAAAGCAGUUAAUAUAGGAAACAAUUAGAAACUACAAUGAUUGAUAUUAUUCUAUUAUUAAAUGUACUCCGAACGAUGCUCAAAGGGAAAAGUAGGUGGAAGUAAAAUUAAAAAAGAAUCUAAAAGAAGAUGAAAAGAAAAUAAUAGAUACGUUGAAUAAGAGCAGAGAAGACUAUCCGUAGGAAUUACAAGAAGAAUAUAUAAGAACUUAUAAGCUUCUUGGAAGAACGAUCGAAAUAUAAAAGGACAAUAUUAGAAAAAGUACAUCCUUGUAACAUUAAACGACUGUAAUCCAUUAAUUAGAACUGUGGCUACACAUUGUUCCGUCUGGGUAGCCCACCUACAUUUACAAAAUAAAUUAUAAAUAAUUUAAACCUACCGGGAUCACAAGUGGCGUGACGUCACUUUACAUGCCUACGGUCCGUCCGUAUUGUUCUCCUCUCUGUUAGUCUGCGUCUAUGCAUUUGUCGGCCCAUUAACUCAUCGCCCGUGAUAUAAACCACACGCACCCAUCCUUACGAAACCUUUCCAUAUCCUACUCAGAGAGUAUUUUUCAAGUUGUUUUUAUAUUUUUACGUUACACUAUAAUAAAUGAUAUUAUUUUUGCAUUAAGAAAAAAAUUCAAAACUUAUUACGAGUGGAUAUGGAUUAGUUUUUAAUCAUAAAAUUAUACAUAAUAUAAAAAAAGAGAAAUAAAAAGAAAUAUAAACAAAUUAACUUACCUUUUCGUAGAAGAAAACAAGAUAACACGUUCAAUGUCUCCUCCUCUUUCUCCUUUCAUUUGGCAUUUGAGUAUGUUUUAACUUCUUUCGUAUUAGGCAUACCGUUUACAAAUUUCUACAUAUAUAUACUUGCUGUUCCUUGUAUGGCUACAUUUUCCGUUGGUUUUGCUUGGGAUGCUUAAAACC
Molecule: long non-coding RNA, 2828 nt
Organism: Glossina fuscipes
Lineage: Eukaryota; Metazoa; Arthropoda; Insecta; Diptera; Glossinidae
Exons: 2
Source: RefSeq, a predicted model, not a curated record